GACGAACGUUGGCGGCGUGCUUAACACAUGCAAGUCGAACGGAAAGGCCCUGCUUUUGUGGGGUGUUCGAGUGGCGAACGGGUGAGUAACACGUGAGUAACCUGCCCUUGACUUUGGGAUAACUUCAGGAAACUGGGGCUAAUACCGGAUAGGAGCUCCUGCUGCAUGGUGGGGGUUGGAAAGUUUCGGCGGUUGGGGAUGGACUCGCGGCUUAUCAGCUUGUUGGUGGGGUAGUGGCUUACCAAGGCUUUGACGGGUAGCCGGCCUGAGAGGGUGACCGGCCACAUUGGGACUGAGAUACGGCCCAGACUCCUACGGGAGGCAGCAGUGGGGAAUAUUGCACAAUGGGCGGAAGCCUGAUGCAGCAACGCCGCGUGCGGGAUGACGGCCUUCGGGUUGUAAACCGCUUUCGCCUGUGACGAAGCGUGAGUGACGGUAAUGGGUAAAGAAGCACCGGCUAACUACGUGCCAGCAGCCGCGGUGAUACGUAGGGUGCGAGCGUUGUCCGGAUUUAUUGGGCGUAAAGGGCUCGUAGGUGGUUGAUCGCGUCGGAAGUGUAAUCUUGGGGCUUAACCCUGAGCGUGCUUUCGAUACGGGUUGACUUGAGGAAGGUAGGGGAGAAUGGAAUUCCUGGUGGAGCGGUGGAAUGCGCAGAUAUCAGGAGGAACACCAGUGGCGAAGGCGGUUCUCUGGGCCUUUCCUGACGCUGAGGAGCGAAAGCGUGGGGAGCGAACAGGCUUAGAUACCCUGGUAGUCCACGCUGUAAACGGUGGGUACUAGGUGUGGGGUCCAUUCCACGGGUUCCGUGCCGUAGCUAACGCUUUAAGUACCCCGCCUGGGGAGUACGGCCGCAAGGCUAAAACUCAAAGGAAUUGACGGGGCCCCGCACAAGCGGCGGAGCAUGCGGAUUAAUUCGAUGCAACGCGUAGAACCUUACCUGGGUUUGACAUGGAUCGGGAGUGCUCAGAGAUGGGUGUGCCUCUUUUGGGGUCGGUUCACAGGUGGUGCAUGGCUGUCGUCAGCUCGUGUCGUGAGAUGUUGGGUUAAGUCCCGCAACGAGCGCAACCCUUGUUCACUGUUGCCAGCACGUUAUGGUGGGGACUCAGUGGAGACCGCCGGGGUCAACUCGGAGGAAGGUGGGGAUGACGACAAGUCAUCAUGCCCCUUAUGUCCAGGGCUUCACGCAUGCUACAAUGGCUGGUACAGAGAGUGGCGAGCCUGUGAGGGUGAGCGAAUCUCGGAAAGCCGGUCUCAGUUCGGAUUGGGGUCUGCAACUCGACCUCAUGAAGUCGGAGUCGCUAGUAAUCGCAGAUCAGCAACGCUGCGGUGAAUACGUUCCCGGGGCU
This 1346-nucleotide ribosomal RNA is filed under the name uncultured bacterium. Its description in RNAcentral is "partial 16S ribosomal RNA". It matches the Rfam family "Bacterial small subunit ribosomal RNA", at positions 28 to 1381 of the family's 1533-position model. The record is from RNAcentral.